UGGGUAGUGAGAAAGUGUAUGAAAAUCCCUUUAAAACCCUCUUGAAAGUGCAAAUCUAGAGCAAAAGUGCAAGGAGACCGCUAGGAGAAAUUCAAAGGGGUAAAGCAAAGUGAAGAAAACCUAAAAUCACCCAGCUUUUAAGAAGCUCGGGUUUAGGUCUCGCCGCCACCGCCUGGCGGCAAAGUGAUACUGCCCGACGGUGAGUGGAAAUUUUCUCACACUUUUCUUGCUUGCCUCUUUGUGAUUUCUCCUGGUAACUCCUGAUCUUUGCCCGAAAUUUUUCAAUUUCAAGAUUUUCC
Molecule: long non-coding RNA, 299 nt
Filed under: Vigna radiata
Lineage: Eukaryota; Viridiplantae; Streptophyta; Magnoliopsida; Fabales; Fabaceae
Description: long non-coding RNA (VRAD_LNC016603)
Source: RNAcentral